This 440-nucleotide ribosomal RNA is filed under the name uncultured bacterium. RNAcentral describes it as "partial 16S ribosomal RNA". It matches the Rfam family "Bacterial small subunit ribosomal RNA", at positions 338 to 795 of the family's 1533-position model. The record is from RNAcentral.
CCUACGGGUGGCAGCAGUGGGGAAUAUUGCACAAUGGGGGAAACCCUGAUGCAGCGACGCCGCGUGAGUGAAGAAGUAUUUCGGUACGUAAAGCUCUAUCAGCAGGGAAGAAAAUGACGGUACCUGACUAAGAAGCCCCGGCUAACUACGUGCCAGCAGCCGCGGUAAUACGUAGGGGGCAAGCGUUAUCCGGAUUUACUGGGUGUAAAGGGAGCGUAGACGGCAGCGCAAGUCUGGAGGGAAAUCCCAUGGCUUAACCAUGGAACUGCUGUGGAAACUGUGCAGCUAGAGUGCAGGAGAGGUAAGCGGAAUUCCUAGUGUAGCGGUGAAAUGCGUAGAUAUUAGGAGGAACACCAGUGGCGAAGGCGGCUUACUGGACUGUAACUGACGUUGAGGCUCGAAAGCGUGGGGAGCAAACAGGAUUAGAUACCCGAGUAGUC